Long non-coding RNA from Phyllopteryx taeniolatus (common seadragon), 4943 nucleotides. RefSeq lists it as uncharacterized. NCBI's taxonomy places the organism in Eukaryota, Metazoa, Chordata, Actinopteri, Syngnathiformes, Syngnathidae. The transcript has 3 exons. The record is from RefSeq and is a predicted model, not a curated record.
AGCAUCCGUCACCAUCGGCGUCCUUGCGCGUAGUGUUGUUGUAGCGUGUAACCGAAGUGGUUUUCCUCGGAGCCUCGGAAGAUUUGCACCCGCUUGGAGUUGAGGUUGAAGCACACGAGCGCGUCUGCAACACAACGACGACAACCACAUCGCAAUUGAACGUGAGAGUCAAAGGCGAGCCGUUUCAGCCGUGAGGAAGACUUUUUGGGAGGCUGAGCGCGCCGCAGAGGUCGCGGAAAGCUUUUCCUGUCGGUGCAAAUGCCACGCACGCUGUCGUGCAGCUAUUCCAACACUGAAUAUUGCGCAGGCCAGGAACUCAUUCCGGACUGUCGACAUCCGUCCGAAUGUCGACAGUCUCGAUACCGAGUCAGGAUCGGUAGCGAGACUGGCGCGAUGAGCUCGAUCCGGUAGUUUGACUUUCGUGCUAGCAUGCGCCGCCGGGGUUCCGUCCAAGAGGCGGCAGCCGGGUCGCCGGACUCGCGCAGCGGGCACACUUCGCCCCCCCUCCCCCAACUUGCGUUAACCGUGUCGUACCGUCACAUAUUAGGACCUGGGUGCCAACUAUUUCGCAAUUGAGCAAUUUCACGAUGCGUCGACCUCAAUUGUUGGAAAAGCAGCGACGUCGGCCGUUCUGGCCCCGUGUUGACUGGGUAUUGCAUCGCAUGUUCGAUCGCUUCGACGUCUCUUUUUGCUAAAACGCUACACGGAACUCACACAACCACACACGCAAAUACUCCCAUCGUUUGCAAAAUCAAAGCCUCUUGUAAAAACUAUACACUCUGAAAAACAAAAUGCGAAAGAGCCGUUUCGCGUGACUUGAUUUGGUUUGCCGACCUGAGACGCUUUUGGCAAGUCAGUGGCCUUCUCAGCGAUCCGAGUACUGUAAGUGAAGAACACAGAGCAAGUGCAAAUCUCCAACACGUUUGUUCGCUCAGCGAACACGAGACCCGGACUUCCCUCUCCUUAUCCACUUCGUCCAGCUCUUCUGGGGGGAUCCCGAGGCGUUCCCGAGCCAACCUGGAGAGGGGUCUCUCCAGGUUGGGGUCUUCCUCCCCGUGGGACGUGCGCAGAAUACCUCACCGGGGAGGCGUGUAGGGGGCAACUUAACCAAAAUUUUGAGCCACCUCAUCUGGCUACCCUCGAUGCAUAAGAGUAGCGGCUCGACUCUGAGCCCCACCCGGAUGACCGAGCUUCUCACCUAGGACUCGUUCUUCAGCUUGACGGCAUCCCUCACCUUUGGUGUCCACCAACGGGUUCGGGGAUCGCCGCCACGACAGGCACCGACCACCUUACGGCCACAGCUCCGGUCAUCCGCAUCGACAAUGGAGGUGUGGAACGUGGUCCGCUCUGACUCAAUGUCCGCCGCCUCCCCCGGGAUGUGGGCGAAGUUCCGUCGGAGGUGGCAGUCGAAACUCCUUCUGACAGGGGGCUCUGCCAGACAUUCCCAGCAGGCCCUCACAAUACGUUUGGGCCUGCCACCAUCGGACCCAACCCACCACCAUCACCUUUGCUUUACCUGAAAGCUCCGCGAUGCGGUCUGCUCAGGAAAGCAGGGACGAAUCCACACAAUUCCUUUCCCCCGACGCCGUAAUUUGAGGGCAACCACUCAAUUCACAGGAAAUCAGUCUGGCAUGCAUUCCAAUCGCUGACCAAUUACAAGUGAUGAUCCCCCCAAGCUGAGAACAGUAACACACUAGCCAACGACUUGAAUACCUUCUACUGCAGAUUUAAAAAGGACGCUUUCACACCGCACACCCACCCGGCCGCACCCCGACCACAAUCACACCUCUGACUUCUGCGUUGACCAUCCGCGAACAGGAUGUGAGACGCAUCAUCAAACAACAAAAAAUUAACAAAGCGGCAGGCCCGGACCACGUGUCCCCAUCCUACCUCAAAGUCAGCGCGGACCAGCUCGCUCCAGUCUUCACACAGAUCUUCAACAGAUCUCUGGAACUGUGCGAAGUACCAAGCUGUUUCAAACGCUCCACCAUCAUUCCAGUCCCCAAGAAACCUGCAAUCUCGGGUCUAAAUGACUACAGGCCUGUCACCUUGACAUUUGUGGUCAUGAAGUCCUUUGAAUGUCUCGUGCUGGACCACCUCACGAGCGUCACAGGUCCCCUGCUGCCCCCCUGCAGUUUGCCUACCGAGCGAACAGGUCUGCGGAUGAUGCAGUCAGCAUGGGACUGCACUUCGUCCUUGAACACCUCGACAGUGCAGGGACCUACGCGAGGAUCCUGUUCCUGUUCUUCAGCUCAGCGUUCAACACCAUCAUCCCUGAACUCCUUUCCUCCAAGCUUCUCCAGCUCAGCGUCUCGCCUGUCAUCGGUCCUGUGUUCUUCCAUCACAGUCUGGUUUGGUGCUGCUACAAAAAAGGACAAACUCCGACUGCAACGGACAAUCAAAACUGCUGAAAGGAUUGUCGGUACCCCCUACCCACCCUUGAGGACUUGCACGCUGCCAGAACUAAGACAAGAGCGUGCAAAAUCCUCUCGGACCCUCCGGUCACCGGCUCUUCUGGCUCCUUCCCUCUGGUAGGCGCUACCGAUCAAUGCAAACUAGAACUAGUAGACAUUCCAACAGCUUCUUCCCUCUUGCGAUCAACUUCUUAAACAGCUGACCUAUAAUUCCAUUACAACAAGCUGGCAAUUUUUUGUCUUGAGUUCGUCGUCCCAUUUCUGUGGGGCCAACGAUGCAUUAGUCGUGCACUCGCUGUCGUUGUCUCGCCGCGCUGCACUAUUUGCAUAUACUGGCCACUCAUGCCAGAGUAGCAUCUGCUCCAUUUGCACACCGAUUGAGGAGUAUCUGCAACAUUUGCACAAUCGACAUUGUCCCAGACGAUCGCGCCACUCGUCACUUGAAACCGCAUCCGCGCCUUGAAGUCUCGGCGCCCCUUGCGCGAUGGUCAUUGCGCCGGACUAUUGCGAUAUUAGUCAUUCCAACUGCUCGAAGCGCAAGAGGACUCUGCAUCUUUUUGCACAAUUGUCCAAAAAUAUAGAAUCAAAUCAAAUAUAUUGUACCGGCAUUACCAGACAACUAGCAGCCCUUUACUGCUCAGUGACUGUUUUUUUUUCGUGUCUCCAAAGCGUUCUCUGUCCAUCGACCGUCUGUUGUCGCACUCGAGCGGCUCCAACAAUUCCUGAUUCGGAGUCAGAUCAAUCCAAAUUGGGAAUAAUAACUGGACUCAACAUUAGAAGCUGGCUUCAUACUAUCAUACUAUCAUUGAGUCCCAAAAAUGAAAAAUGUCUGUCUUUCUGAUGUUUAUUAUGAAAUGGGCUGCAAAAUCUUAUCAAAUAUCUAUCGGCAAUCUCCAAUGGAGCAAGAAGCUUGCUCUUUUCUUUUGCCUUUUGUUGUUCUGUUUUGAAUUGAUUUUAUCUUCCUUCUGACGUUCUUUCCGGCACUGUAACGCACUGAGCUGCAAUCCUUGUAUGAAAUGUGCUAACCGACUUGUUUGUUGUUCUAUGAUGAUCAUGAUCCACCCAUUUUCCGUACCGCUUGUGAUUUUUUUGGAAUGGUUAUUAUGAACGUGUGUAUUUGUUGUCUUUUUUGUCUCUGAGCUGUCUGGCAAGCAGGUUGGAAGCCGGUCAGCUGUCGCGCCGUCAGGAAUGCGUUCGCAGAGCCAGGUUUCAGUCCACAAAAGUCAAAGUUCAAACAAAAAUCAAAAGCUGGAUAUGAGACGAAAGUUCCGAAUUCCGGCUUUCAUUUCCUGGCAUUUUCAUCUUGAUGUGUUCAACAACUCGGGACAGAGCACCUUUUGUUUGAAGCCACCCACUUUUCAAGAGAGAGAGAGAGAGAGAGAGCGCCCCCUACCGCACACAGCGACCUCAACGCGUGCACGUGUGCUGACUGUGCGCGCCUCGGCCAAUGAAUGUAGAGCACGCGCACGCGCACGCGCACGCACUUGACUUUUCACUUCCACGCAAGCCGUGUUGGAAUCGAUCAGCUUUGAAAAAACACAACGUGUCUUUCUUUCUCUCUCGCACGCACGCGCACAGGCGCACGCGCGCACGCUACGAGCCGAGCGCGCUGGAAGCAACAAGUGGAAAAUUGUGGUCACAACUAACGAGAAGCAGACGUGGAUGGAAUGGAUGGCCGCUCGUCGGGCUGUCAGUGAACGCAACACCACGUCCACACAUCCUCUUCAUCAUCCUCGUCAUCACCACGAAGACUCGCAGGUGCUCUCACACCUGCUCCACCGACCUAAAAAAAACGAGGACCUCUUGAAGAAGCUCUUCAAGGAACUUUUUCUUUCUUUAUUUUUUUGACUUGGGAAUUGUGAAGUACUCAUGUUAUGUUUCAUUGCGACACGAUGGUAUUAGGUAUUAGGAGGUGGACUGAGUCUGGUCAGCCCCCCCCCCCCCCCACUGAAGGUCCAGGUACCAGAUGCCCCAACUCUCGGUACAGUCCACAUUAGGCGGGAGCACUUCUGACGAGUGUUCUGCGCCAUUUUGAGCGCUCUAAUCGGAGGCAGUAUGACACAAAACAUCCCGAUUUGAGGCCGCCGGUUUCCUUGGUUUAUUCGAGAGAGGGACGCUCUUUGCCAAGAACGGGUGAGAAGAAAAACAAAGACACCGCCGUAGCUCGAUCUUGUCUGCUCAUUACCGAUUGCGGAACUCGGCUGUGAGAGACGACCUCGUGGGGUCGGACCGCCGCCCAAACCCCAAACGUCCCAAAUCUCCGUUGCAGACGUACGGGGGCUCGGUCGUGCGGGCAUCCUCCGUCUGGAAGAAACGCGAUCCAUCCUCAGCGAACUGGAUUUUUCCCUCACCGCUUCAAGCCAUCCGGACACAAUCGGCAGAAUCGUCGGGCUCUCCUCCGUUGAAAGCGAGGAAAUCUUCAAGGGUGCCAAGAGGAAAAUACCACCGACAUGCUAAUGGUUAGCUUGGGUAGUUUCAAUUUUAAAACUUAUAAAGUUCACAUAUAUAUAGAGUGCCAUUUUCCUUAUG